RNAcentral lists this ribosomal RNA (274 nucleotides) under uncultured bacterium. RNAcentral describes it as "partial 16S ribosomal RNA". It matches the Rfam family "Bacterial small subunit ribosomal RNA", at positions 523 to 796 of the family's 1533-position model. The record is from RNAcentral.
AUACGGAGGGGACUAGCGUUGUUCGGAAUUACUGGGCGUAAAGCGUACGUAGGCGGAUCAGAAAGUAUGGGGUGAAAUCCCAGGGCUCAACCCUGGAACUGCCUCAUAAACUCCUGGUCUUGAGUUCGCGAGAGGUGAGUGGAAUUCCGAGUGUAGAGGCGAAAUUCGUAGAUAUUCGGAGGAACACCAGUGGCGAAGGCGGCUCACUGGCUCGAUACUGACGCUGAGGUACGAAAGUGUGGGGAGCAAACAGCAUUAGAAACCCGAGUAGUCC